GUGUAGUUCUGCUAUCAUCUGCUAAAUCUGAGCAGUAUUUAACGACAAAAGCAGCCCAGCUGAAACAAAUUUUCUCCUUUGUGGAGGAAGAGAUAAUUCAGUGAAAAAGUGGCAGAGCUCUAACAAAAGGCUCAGUCCUGAGAGAUGCUUAGCAGUCUGGCACUGAUCCACCAUGGCCCCAAGUUUGAAAACUGCGGACCUAACCGUGUCUGUACUUUCAAGCACUUACUUAGGCACACUGCAAGAGCAAAACACUGCAGAUCCUGCAGGAUACAGGCCCAAAGGAGAAGAUGACAUAACCUGAGCACUGCUUCUGGGGAUGACAGGGGUUUAUGAAAUGCUAAGACAGCUGGUGAGAUAUCAGCUAAACUCUGAACACAAAGUAAAACCAAGCCAAACACUUGGAUACAAUACAGUAGAAGGGGAAAACCUGUGCCAUGCUGAAAUUUCGUAAUCUCAUUUUUUUAAGUAUACACUGAGCAGUUUCAUUGGACUGUGCCUGAGCAAAAGGAGAAUAAGGAAAUGAGCUAAGGCUUCACCAUUGCCAAGUGGGAAUACAAACUUUGUCCUUAAUCUCAGAGGGUUUGGUAUUAGUUUCUAUCAA
Harpia harpyja (harpy eagle) is the source of this 604-nucleotide long non-coding RNA. RefSeq lists it as uncharacterized. The transcript has 3 exons. Lineage: Eukaryota; Metazoa; Chordata; Aves; Accipitriformes; Accipitridae. The record is from RefSeq and is a predicted model, not a curated record.